UACAUGCCUGUAUAAAUAUUUCUUCAGACGUCCUACUGAUUUGUUCAGAAAACAAAUGAGUGUCUGGAAUCUUCUGGUAGUGCUCUUCAUCUUUUCAUAGGUCUCCCCCUUCCUGAAACUGGUAUGCAAAGGGCUCCUCACAGAGUCUUAACUGAAAGAUUGGUACCUCAACAUAUAGUAUCUCAAUAUAUAUAUCUCUUGUAAGACAGCUUCGCUCCUGAAGCCUCUAGAGUGUUUCCUAGCCUUGAAUUUAAAGAUUUUGCACAAAGCAUUGAAAUAAAUCUGUUUCUAGCCAUUGAAAAUGAGGCUUUUCACACUCAGUACCUCCAUAAGUUUGCAUAUGAGCCAGAUUGGUGCAAACAUGAAGAGUAGCUCUGUGCUCCCAUUUGACAUUGGUUCAGAUCACUGGAAGGAUGUUCUCAUAAACAAAGAGCUGCAGGCCAUGUCAGAACCCCUUUUCUCCUCCUAAUCCACAGCUCAGUUAAGAAAUAACACAGUUUUCUUCAUUCAGACCUCCUUUUGUCUUUUCUCAUGCGUCUGGGGUGGCUUUUUUCUCCUCUGUGCUAUCAUACUGCUGCUGAAUGUUGAUGAGGGACUACUUAGGCCAAUCCUAGAGACUUACUUUUUUUUUUCCCUUCAGCUCUAGCAAUACCUGAUCCUUGCAUUUUAGAACACCGGGUAGCUUAGAUUGCCUGAAUACAAGGUAGUGCCCUGGAGUGGUGCUGAGGAAAGGAGGUACAUUAAGAAACAAGGCAGAAAUGUUUCUCUCAAUAAAUCUUGCAGAAGAACACGAAUACUCUGUCUUGCCAUGUGAGCAAAAAUCACAAGAUGGAGUCGUAUUGGAGAGGAGAGAAAACAAAGGUUCAGUGCUGGUGUUCCAGGUCUCUCUUUCAUAUCUCCUCCUCCAGCAGGAGCAAACAGCUCAGUGUCGGAUUACCUCUGGCAGCAGGGCUGGGGCAUUGGAUGUUCAAGCCCUUGUCCUCAGAGCCCAGCAGCUUAGAGCCCUGCAAAAUGUAAGGUCAGCUCUGGCUGUCACUUGA
This 1040-nucleotide long non-coding RNA is filed under the name Numida meleagris (helmeted guineafowl). RNAcentral describes it as "lncRNA (ENSNMEG00000017500.1)". The record is from RNAcentral. Lineage: Eukaryota; Metazoa; Chordata; Aves; Galliformes; Numididae.